This 845-nucleotide ribosomal RNA is filed under the name marine metagenome. RNAcentral's name for it is "bacterial SSU rRNA". It matches the Rfam family "Bacterial small subunit ribosomal RNA", at positions 397 to 1257 of the family's 1533-position model. The record is from RNAcentral.
CCGCGUGAGGGAUGAAGGCCUCUGGGGCUGUAAACCUCUUUUAUCAAGGAAGAAGAUCUGACGGUACUUGAUGAAUAAGCCACGGCUAAUUCCGUGCCAGCAGCCGCGGUAAUACGGGAGUGGCAAGCGUUAUCCGGAAUUAUUGGGCGUAAAGCGUCCGCAGGCGGCCCUUCAAGUCUGCUGUUAAAAAGUGGAGCUUAACUCCAUCAUGGCAGUGGAAACUGUUGGGCUUGAGUGUGGUAGGGGCAGAGGGAAUUCCCGGUGUAGCGGUGAAAUGCGUAGAUAUCGGGAAGAACACCAGUGGCGAAGGCGCUCUGCUGGGCCAUCACUGACGCUCAUGGACGAAAGCCAGGGGAGCGAAAGGGAUUAGAUACCCCUGUAGUCCUGGCCGUAAACGAUGAACACUAGGUGUCGGGGGAAUCGACCCCCUCGGUGUCGUAGCCAACGCGUUAAGUGUUCCGCCUGGGGAGUACGCACGCAAGUGUGAAACUCAAAGGAAUUGACGGGGGCCCGCACAAGCGGUGGAGUAUGUGGUUUAAUUCGAUGCAACGCGAAGAACCUUACCAGGGUUUGACAUCCUGCGAAUCUCUUGGAAACGAGAGAGUGCCUUCGGGAACGCAGUGACAGGUGGUGCAUGGCUGUCGUCAGCUCGUGUCGUGAGAUGUUGGGUUAAGUCCCGCAACGAGCGCAACCCACGUCUUUAGUUGCCAGCAUUUAGUUGGGCACUCUAGAGAGACCGCCGGUGAUAAACCGGAGGAAGGUGUGGAUGACGUCAAGUCAUCAUGCCCCUUACAUCCUGGGCUACACACGUACUACAAUGCUACGGACAAAGGGCAGCAAGUUCG